Molecule: ribosomal RNA, 468 nt
Filed under: uncultured bacterium
Lineage: Bacteria
Description: partial 16S ribosomal RNA
Rfam family: Bacterial small subunit ribosomal RNA
Source: RNAcentral
GACGAACGCUGGCGGCGUGCUUAACACAUGCAAGUCGAACGGAAAGGCCCUGCUUUUGUGGGGUGCUCGAGUGGCGAACGGGUGAGUAACACGUGAGUAACCUGCCCUUGACUUUGGGAUAACUUCAGGAAACUGGGGCUAAUACCGGAUAGGAGCUCCUGCUGCAUGGUGGGGGUUGGAACGUUUCGGCGGUUGGGGAUGGACUCGCGGCUUAUCAGCUUGUUGGUGGGGUAGUGGCUUACCAAGGCUUUGACGGGUAGCCGGCCUGAGAGGGUGACCGGCCAAAUUGGGACUGAGAUACGGCCCAGACUCCUACGGGAGGCAGCAGUGGGGAAUAUUGCACAAUGGGCGGAAGCCUGAUGCAGCAACGCCGCGUGCGGGAUGACGGCCUUCGGGUUGUAAACCGCUUUCGCCUGUGACGAAGCGUGAGUGACGGUAAUGGGUAAAGAAGCACCGGCUAACUACGUG